UACGUAGGAUGCAAGCGUUGUCCGGAAUUACUGGGCGUAAAGGGCGAGCAGGUGGCACUACAAGUCUGAUGUAAAAUCUCCCGGCUUAACUGGGAGGGGCCAUUGGAAACUGUAGAGCUGGAGUGCAGGAGAGGCUAACGGAAUUCCCGGUGUAGUGGUGAAAUGCGUAGAUAUCGGGAGGAACACCAGUGGCGAAGGCGGUUCUCUGGGCCUGUACUGACGCUGAGGAACGAAAGCGUGGGGAGCGAACGAGG
This 254-nucleotide ribosomal RNA is filed under the name uncultured bacterium. RNAcentral describes it as "partial 16S ribosomal RNA". It matches the Rfam family "Bacterial small subunit ribosomal RNA", at positions 524 to 777 of the family's 1533-position model. The record is from RNAcentral.